GGGCUCACACAAGCGGUGGAGGAUGUGGCUUAAUUCGAGGCUACGCGAAGAACCUUAUCCGAGUCUUGACAUGCUUGGGAAUACCCGUGAAAGCGGGUAGUGCCUUUCGGGGAGCCCUUGCACAGGUGCUGCAUGGCUGUCGUCAGCUCGUGUCGUGAGAUGUCGGGUUAAGUCCCUUAACGAGCGAAACCCUUGUCGCCAGUUGCCAGCGGGUAAUGCCGGGGACUCUGGCGAGACUGCCGGUGUUAAACCGGAGGAAGGUGGGGAUGACGUCAAGUCCUCAUGGCCUUUAUGAUUCGGGCUGCACACGUCCUACAAUGCGGCGUACAAAGGGACGCGAACUCGCGAGAGCAAGCAAAUCCCAAAAAACGUCGCCCAGUUCGGAUUGCAGGCUGCAACUCGCCUGCAUGAAGCCGGAAUCGCUAGUAA
Molecule: ribosomal RNA, 429 nt
Filed under: uncultured bacterium
Lineage: Bacteria
Description: bacterial SSU rRNA
Rfam family: Bacterial small subunit ribosomal RNA
Source: RNAcentral